CCCAGCUCGGCCGCGUCUAGGUCUAGGCAAAGUGUGGAGCCGCGAGGGCGGGUUUCCUCCCUGCCCCAACUCCUCCUCCCGCCCCCACCCCGCAGCUCCCCUCUGGGUGAGUCAGCUUGGGGUGGCAGCUCUGAGGCAGGCAGGCAAGGCAGCUGCGAGGGGGAGGACAGCAGGAUGCCUCCCAACUGGUCCCUGCAGAUCCCAGCCUGGCGCUGGGCCUCCCUGGUGGCAUCCUGUUUGGCAGGAAGGCCUUGGAGAAAGGUGUGCGGGCACCUGGGAAGGAGAACCCUGGCAACGCGUGGAUUUAUGAAUGAAGAAAGAGAAUCACUUCACGAGGCUUGAGGUGGCCUUGAAGAGAUCAAGCACGCCAUGAACCGUCCUGGGCAGACAACAGCACAAGCCGCAAGCUAGGAGUGUGUGAGUGGAAAUUUCAAGUAUUCCACAUUCUUCAUUGAGCUGAGCUCCUUUGGAAAAAAGAGCCCUGGAAUGCAAGCUUGGGAGCCCCUGGAGGAGAAAGGAAGAAACAGGGUACCUGGUCCCCAGUGGGGGGUCUGCCUGCAGGUCUGGGGAGCUGAGGCCCCUCCAUGGCUGCUCCCCACUUGGCAUCCGUUUGAGUGCUCUGCAGCCAGCCCACCCCACUCAUCCAGCUCACACGUCUGUGUGCAUUUAGUUUGAGGUUGGGAAAGGGGCGGAGUCCCGAUUCCCAGUGUGACCUCAGGUCAGUGUUCACCCUGCCCCCUGAGUCACCGACUAAGGGUGACCAUGUGGAGACCACCACAGCUCUGCCGGCCCCUCGCCUAUACAGAGGAGGACUGAGGUGGGACAGCACCCCAAAUGGUGCUUCUUCAGGCCUGGACACUGGCUCUUCUUCUUCUUCCUAUCAAAUGCCCACAACCCAGCACUAUAAGAAGCCUCUAGAUCUUUUCUGCCCCAGCAGAGGACUUCUGAUUGUUUUAGGAAAGAGCUAGCAAAUGAUAACCUUAUGACCACAUCUGCCCUGCACCUACUUUUGUAAAUAAAGUUUUAUUUGUACACUG
This is a long non-coding RNA of Cavia porcellus (domestic guinea pig), 1037 nucleotides long. RefSeq lists it as uncharacterized. NCBI's taxonomy places the organism in Eukaryota, Metazoa, Chordata, Mammalia, Rodentia, Caviidae. The transcript has 3 exons. The record is from RefSeq and is a predicted model, not a curated record.